AGCAUGCGGUUGGGCUCGCAGCUGGCAGAGAGCUCCGAGGCUUCUAAAUAUAAAACGCGAGCGCACGCAAGAUCUUUCUCAUUGACCCGGCUUAAGUGAGCGGGCCGGGAUACACGCGCGCACCCACCCGGAGGUGAGACGCGGCGGCUCUGUUUCCACGAGUGACCAAAUGAAACGGCGAGAUGUCGUGCUUGUACCUUUGGGGGAUCAUAAAGCUCCAACUGGUAGCCCUCGCCUUCAGCGUCCCGGAUCCUCCUGACCAGCAGGCGGCAGCGCUGCCAUCGCGGCAAAGAGUCUGAGAUGGUGUCGUCCACCAGCAAGUACCUCAGCUGG
This is a long non-coding RNA of Syngnathus typhle (broad-nosed pipefish), 333 nucleotides long. RefSeq lists it as uncharacterized. Lineage: Eukaryota; Metazoa; Chordata; Actinopteri; Syngnathiformes; Syngnathidae. The record is from RefSeq and is a predicted model, not a curated record. The transcript has 2 exons.